This 468-nucleotide ribosomal RNA is filed under the name uncultured bacterium. RNAcentral's name for it is "partial 16S ribosomal RNA". It matches the Rfam family "Bacterial small subunit ribosomal RNA", at positions 28 to 507 of the family's 1533-position model. The record is from RNAcentral.
GAUGAACGCUGGCGGCGUGCUUAACACAUGCAAGUCGAACGGAAAGGCCCAAGCUUGCUUGGGUACUCGAGUGGCGAACGGGUGAGUAACACGUGGGUGAUCUGCCCUGCACUUCGGGAUAAGCCUGGGAAACUGGGUCUAAUACUGGAUAGGACCACUUCUUGGAUGGUGUGGUGGAAAGUUUUUUCGGUGUGGGAUGAGCUCGCGGCCUAUCAGCUUGUUGGUGGGGUAAUGGCCUACCAAGGCGUCGACGGGUAGCCGGCCUGAGAGGGUGUACGGCCACAUUGGGACGGAGAUACGGCCCAGACUCCUACGGGAGGCAGCAGUGGGGAAUAUUGCACAAUGGGCGCAAGCCUGAUGCAGCGACGCCGCGUGGGGGAUGACGGCCUUCGGGUUGUAAACUCCUUUCGCUAGGGACGAAGCGUUUUUGUGACGGUACCUGGAGAAGAAGCACCGGCUAACUACGUG